Molecule: ribosomal RNA, 492 nt
Filed under: uncultured bacterium
Lineage: Bacteria
Description: bacterial SSU rRNA
Rfam family: Bacterial small subunit ribosomal RNA
Source: RNAcentral
AAUGAACGCUGGCGGCGUGCUUAACACAUGCAAGUCGUGCGCGAAGGAGGCUUCGGCCUCCGGAGAGCGGCGAACGGGUGAGUAACACGUGGGUAAUCUACCUAGGAGCGAGGGAUAACCUGGGGAAACUCGGGCUAAUACCGCAUACGUUGGUUGGGCUACGGUCUGAUCAAGAAAGCUGGCCUCUGCUUGCAAGCUAGCACUCCUGGAGGAGCCCGCGGCUGAUUAGCUAGUUGGUGAGGUAAUGGCUCACCAAGGCAUCGAUCAGUAGCCGGCCUGAGAGGGUGAUCGGCCACACUGGGACUGAGACACGGCCCAGACUCCUACGGGAGGCAGCAGUGGGGAAUAUUGGACAAUGGGCGCAAGCCUGAUCCAGCAACGCCGCGUGGAGGACGAAGGUCUUCGGAUCGUAAACUCCUGUCAGGUGGGACGAAGGCUCGUCGGUAAAUAGCUGGCGAGUUUGACGGUACCACCAGAGGAAGCCCGGCUAAC